UGAGACAAGGCCACUCCGUGGUCACGAUGGAUCAAGAUAGAAACAAGUCCACGUCAUAAUCACGUCUGAACACAAACACAACUGGGACAUUGCUCAACUCGCAAUACAUCAAGCUUGCCCCUCUCCUGGCUAAGAGGAGCGACUGACGCUUCUUUACCAAUUAUAGCUUUGGCCUCACUCCAGUCUGCCCUCCCUCCAGAUAAGAUUUAUUGAGAUACUGUGUUAGUCUCCUUGGGCCACCAUAACAAAUUGCCACCAACGGGGUGGCUUAAAACAACAAGACCCUCUCUCACAGUUCUGGGGUCUGAAAGUCUGAAAUCAAGGUGUCGGCAGGAUUGUUUCCUUCCAGAGGCCAUGCGGGAGAAUCCAUUCCAUGCCCACCUCCUAGCUCCUGGUAGCUACUGGUGGGCUUCAUCCAGAGACAACCUAUGAUGGAUUCUAUGCAAAUUCUCACAGAUCUCAGAGGCUGAACCCCAUGGUUUGGAACCACAUUACAUAUUGUCUCAUGUUUUUGUUUCCUGUGUGAUGGUCUCGCCUCUUCUGUCAGACGAUGACAAGACUCAGCCCAGGUCCUGACCCACUUGCACAAGAUUACGGGGCAGGUAGUGAAGCCAGGGUGUGGCCCCGGGCGGUCUGCCCAGAGCCUGUGCUCCAAUCUCCCUCUGCUAAGCUUCUCGCGUGCUUUCCCCGAGAUGGCCCAGUCCUCAGCAUCCACCUCAGUGGAUGCCACAUACGGGCUUCCAGGGGCUCUCCUGAAGCAGUUGGUUUCAGGGAGCGAGAGCUCCUUGGGAGGCCA
Molecule: long non-coding RNA, 796 nt
Organism: Equus quagga
Lineage: Eukaryota; Metazoa; Chordata; Mammalia; Perissodactyla; Equidae
Exons: 3
Source: RefSeq, a predicted model, not a curated record